RNAcentral lists this long non-coding RNA (240 nucleotides) under Physcomitrium patens. RNAcentral's name for it is "long non-coding RNA (PPAT_LNC009484)". Lineage: Eukaryota; Viridiplantae; Streptophyta; Bryopsida; Funariales; Funariaceae. The record is from RNAcentral.
AAAAGUGAAAUGUGGAGCUUAUAAUUCACUGUGAAGAUGAUAGUAAAAAUAAAGUGAGAGAGAUGAAAGCGAAGGUACCUUGACAACACUUAAGGAUUGAAGGGAGCGACCUCCCUCUACUCCAAAAUUUUCCAAAAUUUUUAAUCGGCUUCAAUUUGAAUGAUUCUUAGCUUGUUGCAAGGCUGACUUGAAGGCACUUUUGAUCCAACAAUCUUCGUUGCAAUAUAAUGAUCCAAUCAU